Cyprinus carpio carpio is the source of this 1060-nucleotide long non-coding RNA. NCBI's taxonomy places the organism in Eukaryota, Metazoa, Chordata, Actinopteri, Cypriniformes, Cyprinidae. The record is from Ensembl.
AUGAGCUGCUCUUAAAGAUUGGAGAUCUCCACAUAAUCUUGGAUCCAUGGCCAAAAACACUUACAUCAUGUAACUGCUUUCUCUGGGAAUCUUGGAACAUCUCUGUUUAUCAGCUUUACAAGAAGCUCCGUCUUUACAUCAGAGUCUAAACUCUCCCUACAUUUCACAGUAAGUCCUCUCUAUGCUAAAUCCAGUCCAAGUUUUAGCUGAUUGAGAAAUCAAGCAAACAUUUAACUUCUUUCAUAGGGUUGGACUGGUGGCUAUUAAAAGAAAGCAGUUUGUUGUUAGUUAAACAGCUUACAAAGAACUGCUAUUAGACCAUUGAAUUAUCAAGUUGCAAAUUAAUAUGACAAAUCAAAAUCUGAGGCGGUCUCUGUAGUGGUCACUGUAUAUGCAGUACCUUGACCACGAGGGAAAAGAUGAAAGUCUCUGAAAGUCAUUUGAACAUGUCUUGGCUGUCUUAGUGUCUUUUUCCUUCUGCAGUGUCUUCCAGUCUGUCACUUGGUGAUGAGGAUAUGAUGGGGCAUCGGAGUUUUGACUCGGGAUGCAGUUAUCUUCCGCUCUGCCUCUCAUGGCAGAUGUCUGCAAUGUUUUCAGUCUUUCUCCAUUCCAGCCCCUCCCAGAAGUGUCAGAUUCCUCUUACAGGGGGUGUAGCCGAUCGCUCCUCAGCUUUUCCUGUUCUUCACAGCCAUAAUGCCUCUUUCUUCAUGUUGUAUCGCCCUUUGGCAGCUGCCCAAGAUGUCGUCUUGUUGCUUCUAUAAAAUGAACACUCAAGAGAACCGCAUUAUAAACUUUGACCACAAUUGCAUAUAAGCAAUCUCUGGUAUGGUCAGUCAUCUUGUGCAACUGUCCAAAAUUUAAGGAAUCUCAUCCAGUUAACAGUAUAUAUAUAUAGCAGUUCUUUGGUUUAUUUUAAUAAGCAAGUUCUUCUUUGCUGGAAAAGUGCAAGCAAUUCCUUCUUUGCAGAAUGCAGAAAAGAGCAGUAACCUAUUCUAUCUGAUAUGAGCAUUUAUGAGCAUUAUACUUCUAUAAUUCUUAUGUACACAUCAGCAUGAUGCAU